Non-coding RNA from Phrynosoma platyrhinos (Desert horned lizard), 69 nucleotides. Lineage: Eukaryota; Metazoa; Chordata; Lepidosauria; Squamata; Phrynosomatidae. The record is from the annotation of a GenBank genome assembly.
UGAGAGACAGCUUAGUGGUUUGAGCGUUGGACUGUGAUUCUGUAGACCACGGUUCAAAUCCCUGCUCAG